AUUGAACGCUGGCGGCAUGCCUUACACAUGCAAGUCGAACGGCAGCACGGGUGCUUGCCCCUGGUGGCGAGUGGCGAACGGGUGAGUAAUACAUCGGAACAUGUCCUGUAGUGGGGGAUAGCCCGGCGGAAGCCGGAUUAAUACCGCAUACGAUCUACGGAUGAAAGCGGGGGACCUUCGGGCCUCGCGCUAUAGGGUUGGCCGAUGGCUGAUUAGCUAGUUGGUGGGGUAAAGGCCUACCAAGGCGACGAUCAGUAGCUGGUCUGAGAGGACGACCAGCCACACUGGGACUGAGACACGGCCCAGACUCCUACGGGAGGCAGCAGUGGGGAAUUUUGGACAAUGGGCGAAAGCCUGAUCCAGCAAUGCCGCGUGUGUGAAGAAGGCCUUCGGGUUGUAAAGCACUUUUGUCCGGAAAGAAAUCCUUGGCCCUAAUACGGUCGGGGGAUGACGGUACCGGAAGAAUAAGCACCGGCUAACUACGUG
This 486-nucleotide ribosomal RNA is filed under the name uncultured bacterium. RNAcentral's name for it is "partial 16S ribosomal RNA". It matches the Rfam family "Bacterial small subunit ribosomal RNA", at positions 30 to 507 of the family's 1533-position model. The record is from RNAcentral.